GACGAACGCUGGCGGCGUGCUUAACACAUGCCAGUCGAACGGAAAGGCCCUGCUUUUGUGGGGUGCUCGAGUGGCGAACGGGUGAGUAACACGUGAGUACCUGCCCUUGACUUUGGGAUAACUUCAGGAAACUGGGGCUAAUACCGGAUAGGAGCUCCUGCUGCAUGGUGGGGGUUGGAAAGUUUCGGCGGUUGGGGAUGGACUCGCGGCUUAUCAGCUUGUUGGUGGGGUAGUGGCUUACCAAGGCUUUGACGGGUAGCCGGCCUGAGAGGGUGACCGGCCACAUUGGGACUGAGAUACGGCCCAGACUCCUACGGGAGGCAGCAGUGGGGAAUAUUGCACAAUGGGCGGAAGCCUGAUGCAGCAACGCCGCGUGCGGGAUGACGGCCUUCGGGUUGUAAACCGCUUUCGCCUGUGACGAAGCGUGAGCGACGGUAAUGGGUAAAGAAGCACCGGCUAACUACGUG
This 467-nucleotide ribosomal RNA is filed under the name uncultured bacterium. Its description in RNAcentral is "partial 16S ribosomal RNA". It matches the Rfam family "Bacterial small subunit ribosomal RNA", at positions 28 to 507 of the family's 1533-position model. The record is from RNAcentral.